CCUACGGGUGGCAGCAGUGGGGAAUAUUGCGCAAUGGACGAAAGUCUGACGCAGCGCCGCCGCGUGAGGGAUGAAGGUUUUCUGAUCGUAAACCUCUGUCAGGAGGGAAGAAAGCGCAUGGCGCCAAUCAGCCAUGCGUUGACUGUACCUCCAAAGGCAGCGCCGGCUAACUCCGUGCCAGCAGCCGCGGUAAUACGGAGGGCGCGAGCGUUAAUCGGAAUUGCUGGGCGUAAAGCGCGCGUAGGCUGUGGUGUAAGUGGGGGGUGAAAUCCCCCGGCUCAACCGGGGAACAGCCCUUGAUACUGGGGGACGGGAGUGCGGGAGAGGGUGGCGGAAUUCCAGGUGUAGGAGGGAAAUGCGUAGAUAUCGGGAGGAACAGCAGUGGCGAAGGCGGCCACCUGGACCGGUAUUGACGCUGAGGCGCGAAAGCGUGGGGAGCAAACAGGAUUAGAUACCCGGGUAGUC
RNAcentral lists this ribosomal RNA (465 nucleotides) under uncultured bacterium. Its description in RNAcentral is "partial 16S ribosomal RNA". It matches the Rfam family "Bacterial small subunit ribosomal RNA", at positions 338 to 795 of the family's 1533-position model. The record is from RNAcentral.